Molecule: non-coding RNA, 102 nt
Organism: Nasonia vitripennis (jewel wasp)
Lineage: Eukaryota; Metazoa; Arthropoda; Insecta; Hymenoptera; Pteromalidae
Gene: Mir71
Product: microRNA mir-71
Exons: 1
Source: RefSeq, marked provisional
GAAAAUCAAUUGGCGAGAUUCCGCUUGAAAGACAUGGGUAGUGAGAUGCUUACCUCGGAUUCGCGUCUCACUACCUUGUCUUUCAUGCGGCGCUCGCAGCAA